This 253-nucleotide ribosomal RNA is filed under the name uncultured bacterium. RNAcentral describes it as "partial 16S ribosomal RNA". It matches the Rfam family "Archaeal small subunit ribosomal RNA", at positions 474 to 727 of the family's 1478-position model. The record is from RNAcentral.
UACCAGCACCCCGAGUGGUCGGGACGAUUAUUGGGCCUAAAGCAUCCGUAGCCGGUUCUACAGGUCUUCCGUUAAAUCCACCUGCUUAACAGAUGGGCUGCGGAGGAUACUAUGGAGCUAGGAGGCGGGAGAGGCAAGCGGUACUUAGUGGGUAGGGGUAAAAUCCGUUGAUCCAUUGAAGACCACCAGUGGCGAAGGCGGCUUGCCAGAACGCACUCGACGGUGAGGGAUGAAAGCUGGGGGAGCAAACCGG